GACGAACGCUGGCGGCGUGCUUAACACAUGCAAGUCGAACGGUAAGGCCCUUCGGGGUACACGAGUGGCGAACGGGUGAGUAACACGUGGGUGAUCUGCCCUGCACUUCGGGAUAAGCCUGGGAAACUGGGUCUAAUACCGGAUAGGACUCCGGACUGCAUGGUCUGGGGUGGAAAGCUUUUGCGGUGUGGGAUGGGCCCGCGGCCUAUCAGCUUGUUGGUGGGGUGAUGGACUACCAAGGCGACGACGGGUAGCCGGCCUGAGAGGGUGACCGGCCACUCUGUGACUGAGAUACGGCCCGGACUCCUACGGGAGGCAGCAGUGGGGAAUAUUGCACAAUGGGCGCAAGCCUGAUGCAGCGACGCCGCGUGAGGGAUGACGGCCUUCGGGUUGUAAACCUCUUUCAGCAUCGACGAAGCGAAAGUGACGGUAGGUGCAGAAGAAGGACCGGCCAACUACGUGCCAGCCGCCGCCGUAA
Molecule: ribosomal RNA, 478 nt
Filed under: uncultured bacterium
Lineage: Bacteria
Description: partial 16S ribosomal RNA
Rfam family: Bacterial small subunit ribosomal RNA
Source: RNAcentral